GAGGCGAGAGCAUCUGGCGGUGUGGCAAUACCCUUGCACAGCGAGGAAGCUGAGUGUCACUCUAAUUUUGAGUGACAGCUUCAUAUGUCAUCUCUCUGGGAUCUGAGCUCAGUCCCUCUGGAAUUUGAGUUGCAUCUUCCUUGCUGUUCUCUUUGCCAGCCCCUCGGCUGGGCACUCAGCUGCUGGAGCACCUGCCCAGUGGCAGAGAUCUGCUUACCCCCCUCCCUUCAGCCAACCCUGCUUCUUCCUUCUUGGGUCUCAAGAAGGAGGAUCAGCCAAUGGGUAGACAAAAGGCACAAUAUGGUCAUUUUUAUAAAAAAUGAAGCCUCAAUAGACUUGUCUGCCUGGGAUGCUGCAUGACUUAGGGACUGUCAUUGGUGGGUCUACAACAGUCCAUGUCGGAUACAGUUCACAUUUAUAGGUCCUCAUCUGGUGCUCAGAUCACCCUGCCCCUGUAGAAGACUGCCUGAGGGUCCCCUAGGUCUGGAACAAGUUGCUUCGGAGUUUUUGUGGCCUGUGUGAGCAAGCCUGUGGGCCUCCUAGAAAGGCCAAGGCUUUGCCGAACUUCCUCAAAAGAGUGUCUAGGGUUAUCUCUGCCUCUCUCUUCUCCUACGUUCUGUCCAAAGAAGCAAAGGAGGGAGCUCAGAACCAUGAGGAUGAGACCUCGGAGAGACUCUGUGUGUGUGAUAGGCCAAAGCUGUGAGGUUGAGGUCAUAAAGAGGCUGAGUGCAGGCCAUAGGGGCAGACACCCUGCCCUCACCGGGGCAUCCCAUUCUUCCAGGGAUAGAUGACUAAUGUCUUCCCUAAGUUUCCAGCUGUGAGUGACAGGGGCUUCUGGAGCCCUGCUCUGGGUCUGCAGAGAGCUGGCGUUUGCCUUUGGCCUCUUCAGGCAGCUCGCAUCUGUCUUUCAAGCAAUCGAAAAGGCCUCACCAUUCCAGGAGCAAGCAAGCGCUGAGCCAAGGAUGGGUAGAGAACUCCGGCACGCCUCGGGAGAAAGAAAAGUUUUAUUGCAGCACAGAAGUUCUGCUGUGUACUUGGUUCCCUGCUGACCCAGCUAAUGUUCGAGCUUUCAAAGAACCAGGGUCCACUGUGAGGAGCCAUGGAGAAGGACUUUGCCUCUCCCAUAGAAGGUCUCUCUGCGCUCCCAGCCAAGACCAAGCCAAGCCCAAGCUCAAGAUCUCUGCUGUCAAGCCAAGAACUUUCCCCGAGGGACCAGCUGGAGCUCCCCACUUCCCCCUUGGCCUCGGGCCAGAUCCAACCCGAGGACCCCCACUUCCAUUCUCAGCUCUUCUGUGGCUUUCAAUGGCUCCUACGCGUCGAAGAGCCUGACAACCAGACGGGCCUCAGCCUCCUCGCAGGCCUGGGGACCCCCAGCCAGCUCCGGCUGUCCCAAUCAGACUGUGACUUCCCACCCUGGGAUCAGUGUCCCAGGGCUGCCCAACGGCCCAGCCCUGUGGCAGAGCAGACACGGGACCUCAGAACCCUGUGUGUGUGAAGAUCUCAUACUAUGUAUAAUCCAGACUGAUCUCAAACUCACAGUUAUCCUCCGGCCUCAGCCUCUCAAGAGUUGGAACCACAGGUGUGCACCACCAUACUCAGCUAUGUGGCAGGUUUUCUUUUUCUUAUUCAGUGACACAUAAAAGCAACUGGGGGCAACGGAGACUUGUGCAACUCAGUGUUACUUCAUUGUGAUUUGAGUGUGAAAUCACCCAAGACUCAGCAGGUGGCUUCGCUUGGGGAGGCUGUGUGGUUUUGCUGGAUGAAAUCCAUCCCUGGGGGUGGGCUUUGAGGUGUUCUAGCCGGGUCCCACUUCCUGUUCUUUCUGCUUUGCAACGCCAGGAGCCCUGAGCACGCACAGUCACAGUGUCGUCUCUGUACCCUCUGGAUCCUAAGGGAUAAACCCUUUCUCUCUA
Mastomys coucha (southern multimammate mouse) is the source of this 1913-nucleotide long non-coding RNA. RefSeq lists it as uncharacterized. NCBI's taxonomy places the organism in Eukaryota, Metazoa, Chordata, Mammalia, Rodentia, Muridae. The transcript is spliced from 2 exons. The record is from RefSeq and is a predicted model, not a curated record.